Molecule: ribosomal RNA, 686 nt
Filed under: uncultured prokaryote
Description: bacterial SSU rRNA
Rfam family: Bacterial small subunit ribosomal RNA
Source: RNAcentral
GAUGAACGCUGACAGAAUGCUUAACACAUGCAAGUCGAUUCGAUUUACCUUCGGGUAUUGAGGAUGGCGGACGGGUGAGUAACGCGUAAGGAACUUGCCUCUUGGUCUGGGACAACUGUUGGAAACGACAGCUAAUACCGGAUAUUAUGAGAUUCUCGCAUGGGAAACUUAUGAAAGCUAUAUGCGCCAAGAGAGAGCCUUGCGUUCCAUUAGCUAGUUGGUGGGGUAACGGCCCACCAAGGCGACGAUGGAUAGCCGGCCUGAGAGGGUGAACGGCCACAAGGGGACUGAGACACGGCCCUUACUCCUACGGGAGGCAGCAGUGGGGAAUAUUGGACAAUGGGCCACAAGCCUGAUCCAGCAAUUCUGUGUGCACGAUGAAGGUCUUCGGAUUGUAAAGUGCUUUCAGUUGGGAAGAAGAAAGUGACGGUACCAACAGAAGAAGCGACGGCUAAAUACGUGCCAGCAGCCGCGGUAAUACGUAUGUCGCAAGCGUUAUCCGGAUUUAUUGGGCGUAAAGCGCGUCUAGGCGGAAAAAUAAGUCUGAUGUUAAAAUGCGGGGCUCAACUCCGUAUUGCGUUGGAAACUGUUUUUCUAGAGUACUGGAGAGGUGGGCGGAACUACAAGUGUAGAGGUGAAAUUCGUAGAUAUUUGUAGGANUGCCGAUGGAGAAGUCAGCUCACUGG